GCCCUCGUAGCUCAGACGGAUAGAGCGACGCACUCCUAACGCGUAGGCCGCAGGUUCAACUCCUGCCGAGGGCA
RNAcentral lists this transfer RNA (74 nucleotides) under Candidatus Portnoybacteria bacterium CG_4_8_14_3_um_filter_44_15. RNAcentral's name for it is "tRNA-Arg". It matches the Rfam family "tRNA". From Rfam's summary of the family: Transfer RNA (tRNA) molecules are approximately 80 nucleotides in length. Their secondary structure includes four short double-helical elements and three loops (D, anti-codon, and T loops). The record is from RNAcentral. Lineage: Bacteria; Candidatus Portnoyibacteriota.